Molecule: ribosomal RNA, 1265 nt
Filed under: metagenome
Description: bacterial LSU rRNA
Rfam family: Bacterial large subunit ribosomal RNA
Source: RNAcentral
UCAUUUAAAGAGUGCGUAAUAGCUCACUAGUCGAGAGAUCCUGCGCCGAAAAUGUACCGGGGCUAAACUUACCACCGAAGCUACGGGCUUGCAUUAGCAAGCGGUAGGGGAGCGUCGUAAUCGGGCUGAAGUCGUACCGUAAGGAGCGGUGGACUGAUUACGAGUGAGAAUGUUGGCAUUAGUAGCGAGAUGUAGGUGAGAAUCCUACAGGCCGAAUAUCUAAGGUUUCCUCAGGAAGGCUCGUCCGCUGAGGGUUAGUCGGGACCUAAGCCGAGGCCGAAAGGCGUAGGCGAUGGACAAUCGGUUGAUAUUCCGAUACCACUACCAUCGUUAUUAUCGAGGGUGUGACGGAGAAGGAUAGUGUGUGCUAGCGAUUGGAAAUGCUAGUCUAAGCGUUUAGGCAGUUACGGUAGGCAAAUCCGCUGUAAUAAUGCUGAGGCGUGAUGGGGAAGGUCAAUUUGACCGAAGUACAUGAUUCCAUGCUUCCAAGAAAAGCAUCUAGAGAGAGAAGUAGUGCCCGUACCGCAAACCGACACAGGUAGAUGAGGAGAGAAUCCUAAGGCCGGCGGAAGAAUUGCAGUUAAGGAACUAGGCAAAUUGACCCCGUAAGUUCGCGAGAAGGGGUGCCUGCGAGAGCAGGCCGCAGAGAAUAGGCCCAAGCAACUGUUUAGCAAAAACACAGGUCUCUGCUAAAGCGCAAGCUGAUGUAUAGGGGCUGACGCCUGCCCGGUGCUGGAAGGUUAAGGGGAACACUUAGCGCAAGCGAAGGUGUGAACUUAAGCCCCAGUAAACGGCGGCCGUAACUAUAACGGUCCUAAGGUAGCGAAAUUCCUUGUCAGGUAAGUUCUGACCCGCACGAAUGGCGUAAUGACUUGGGCACUGUCUCAACUGCAAAUCCGGCGAAGUUGUAGUGCGAGUGAAGAUGCUCGCUACCCGCGAUUGGACGGAAAGACCCCGUAGAGCUUUACUGUAGCUUAGCAUUGAAUUCCGGUAUUGUCUGUACAGGAUAGGUGGGAGACUGGGAAACUAGGGCGUCAGCCUUAGUGGAGUCACCCUUGGGAUACCACCCUGACAGUACUGGGGUUCUAACAGGACGCCAUGAAUCUGGUGACUGGACAUUGUUAGGUGGGCAGUUUGACUGGGGCGGUCGCCUCCUAAAAAGUAACGGAGGCGCCCAAAGGUUCCCUCAGAACGGUCGGAAAUCGUUCGUAGAGUGCAAAGGCAGAAGGGAGCCUGACUGCGAGACCUACAAGUCGAGCAGGGAC